This 442-nucleotide ribosomal RNA is filed under the name uncultured bacterium. Its description in RNAcentral is "partial 16S ribosomal RNA". It matches the Rfam family "Bacterial small subunit ribosomal RNA", at positions 338 to 795 of the family's 1533-position model. The record is from RNAcentral.
CCUACGGGUGGCAGCAGUGGGGAAUAUUGGGCAAUGGACGCAAGUCUGAACCAGCAACGCCGCGUGAAGGAAGAAGGCUUUCGGGUUGUAAACUUCUUUUAAGGGGGAAGAGCAGAAGACGGUACCCCUUGAAUAAGCCACGGCUAACUCCGUGACAACAGCCGCGGUUAAACGUAGGAGGCAAGUGUUGUCCGGAUGUGCUGGGUGUAAAGGGCGUGCAUCCGGAGAUACAAGUCAGAUGUGAAAUCCACGGGCACAACCCGUGAACUGCCUUUGAAACUUUUUCCCUUGAGUGUCGGAGAGGUAAUCGGAAUUCCUAGUGUAGCGGUGAAAUGCGUAGAUAUUAGGAAGAACCCCAGUGGCGAAGGCGGAUUACUGGACGAUAACUGACGGUGAGGCGCGAAAGCGUGGGGAGCAAACAGGAUUAGAUACCCUAGUAGUC